This is an unclassified non-coding RNA of Macaca fascicularis (crab-eating macaque), 117 nucleotides long. It matches the Rfam family "Metazoan signal recognition particle RNA". From Rfam's summary of the family: The signal recognition particle (SRP) is a universally conserved ribonucleoprotein. It is involved in the co-translational targeting of proteins to membranes. The eukaryotic SRP consists of a 300-nucleotide 7S RNA and six proteins: SRPs 72, 68, 54, 19, 14, and 9. Lineage: Eukaryota; Metazoa; Chordata; Mammalia; Primates; Cercopithecidae. The record is from Ensembl.
GUCAGGCGUGAUGGCUCACGCCUGUAAUCCCAGCACUUUGGGAGGCCGAGGCGGGUGGAUCACCUGAGGUCAGGAGUUCGAGAGCAGCCUGACCAACAUGGUGAAACCCUGUCUCUA